CUAGCGCUCCCUGAUCCCUCCCACCUCCCCUCCCCUCGCCGCCACCCACCCCUCCCUCGCUCUCCUCCCUCCCCCCUCCCCUCCGGCAAGAUCCAGCGCGCUCCAAGAUCCCCAUGCUCUGCUCCUUCCUCCCUCCCCUCCCCUCUGGCAAGAUCCAGCGUGCGUCCUCCCUCUCCUCGAUCUAGAUCGGGGCACCUCGUCGCCCCGCCUUCGUCUCCCUCUGUCUCCCACCUGAUGGAGCCCGCGGUGGGGGGAAGCGAGGGGCCAAACACCCGCUUCCAACACACAAGGUCUCGGCUUCCCCUCCCAUCGCCGCACCACUCGUCCGCUAGCUCCCCACGCAGGCGGAUUUGGAUCGAGGCGGCCGUCGUCGGCGGCGGCAGCGGGCUGGGUACCAUGAGCGCUGUGCUCGCCAUCUGACACCAUCCUCCAGUGGUGGGGAUUCAACAUCGCCGUCAUCAACAAGCGGGUAUUCUAGAUCUUGCCACACUGGGCAUCAGGACCGCUGGAUGCUUCUCUCACGGUGGUCAAGCCAAGCUCUCCUACGGUGGUUAGAACGGGCGUCGUCAACCCUGCCGCCCCCUCUUCCGCCGGGUCUCCCAAGAGGUCGUGCAUCCUGCCGCGACCACCUCUACUACGUGACGGUGGUGGCCGACCUGCAAUGCGACCGCUGCAUCGCCAGUAACCUCUUCGCAAUGGCAACACAAGCAGGAACCUUGGCUACUCCUCGUUUAAGUCCCCAAGUGGUAGGGUUCUCUGUUCAUGGGAGUCACCAUCUAGGCAUGCUUGAUGCUUCACCAGAAUGCUGCAUUGUUCUUUAGCUGUCGAUUGUCUGUGUAGAUUGACUGUAUCGAGUUGAGGGCUUGAGGCAGGUUGUAGGUGAUUAGAACAACCACCUGUUAAGUAAGAUCAGUUGUACUGUAUGCUCUGAACAUAAGCUUGUGCUGCUGCCAGUGUAGUGUAUGCUCUGAACACAAGAUCCUUUACUUGCUCUGGUUUGGUUAAGACUGAUGAUGCCGUGGAUAAGAAAACAAUUUAAAAGGUCUGUUGAAACAAGGUGGAAGCAUGUUUUUUCUUGCAACGUACCCUAAACCCCUAAACCCUUUUUAUUUGAACUUGUUAGUUAUGUUCUGGAGUCUGGAAUUUUUGAAUCAAUAUCUAUCUGAUUAAUGCAUGCCUUGUUUUGUUUUUUAGUUUGUUGCAAAACAUAUAUCUGGUGUAUCUGAUUAGUUAUGUUGUAAAAGAAUGCUUGUCUCUGACACUGUUAUUCUUACGUUGAUAUAUGUGCCCAGGUUUGUGUGUUUUGAAUCAAUAUCUAUCCGAUUAAUUAAUGACCAUGGUGAGCUAGAUCCAAACAAACAAGACACUUACAUUAACUUGGCACUUUGAGUCCUUGUAAUUCUGAUAGUGUGGAACUAUAUUUUGUACACAUAGUCAACUAGUUUUCGUUUUAUAUUUGCUUGCUUAUGUGGAACUAUAUUUUCUCAUUUUUCUAAUUAUGACAUGGAUGAUAUGAAAUAUCAGAAUUGUUUCUGUUACAUGGUGUGCUGCAGGAAAGCCCCUGUGUAGGUUUAUUGUCUCGUAAUUGGGCAAUUAUUUUCUUGCAGGGGGCCACCCGUUCUAGCUCGCUUUGACCCUCUUUUGCUCUGUAGUGGUCUUGGUACAUGAAAAGCAGGUCCUUUUAAAUGUUUUGCUUCCUUGGUUGCAUUCUGCUGUACACUCAAAAAUAUUUUCAAUUUAGUGACAAGCAAACAAUAAAAUAGUCAAAAGGCUUUUAUUUAAUGUGCUUUUCGAAAAUGACAAUGUGUUGUGAUGUUCUCCUCUUUCUGUUGACAUGUAUGUUGAGUAAUAUCAAGCCAUAAUUAUAGUCACUCCAAGACAUGCUCAAAUGUAGUCGCACGUACAGAUUUGUGUGGCUGAGGUACAGUUUUAAGAUGAGAUACAUAUAUAUGGAACAUGAAAGUAUUACCGUUUGUUAGGACAUGAUGACUGUUUGUUUACUACUUUAUGAUUUUGUGUAGAGUUGUGUCCUUCUUGUCCCCUUUUACCCAAGGCCAUCUUGUUGUGUCAAUGGCUGUGUUGCCGUUUCAAGUUUUGUGUAUGUGCAUAUGUACAUAGCAGUAGACUAGACUGUUGUGAUCGUAUAUUACCUUCAUCCCUUCUUAGAUUUAUCUAGAUACGGAUGUAUCUAACACUAAAAUGUGUCUAUACAUCCGUAUCUAGACAAAUCUAAGACAAGAAUUUUGGGACGGAGGCAAUGUUUUCGUGUUGUUGAGUCGUUCUGGGGUAGCGACUCUUGACGAGUUGUGCCUGGCUGAUCGACUAGUCUCUACUAGUCGAGAGGUUGAGUCGACAUCUGGCAGUGCAGCUCGUCGACUAGUCGCGUGGAUGGAGGGAGUACUUGCUUUGCAGCCCGACAAGACAAUAUUGUUCCCUUCAUGAACGAGGACAUGGGCAUGUACCUCGACGAUGAGCUCAUCCACCACUACCACCUCGACUCCGCGUGCAAGGUGUUGUGUGUCCUGGAAGAUGGAAGAGGAAGAAAGCUUAUUUUUGUUGAACUAAAUUUCCUGUAUUUUGUUUUGUUGUAUGUAUCAUUUGAUAGUUUUGUAUAGGAACAAGUGAUACUAUUUUGAAGGGCUUUAUGGCCGGUGAUGUAAACAUAUUUAGUGCUGAAAUAUGAAAUUAUUUGCAAAAUUUCUUGAAAAGGAGGAUCAUUUGUAUGAAUAUGCGAAUGGGCUGAAAAGAGUA
RNA transcript from Triticum aestivum (bread wheat), 2751 nucleotides. RefSeq lists it as uncharacterized. The record is from RefSeq and is a predicted model, not a curated record. NCBI's taxonomy places the organism in Eukaryota, Viridiplantae, Streptophyta, Magnoliopsida, Poales, Poaceae. The transcript is spliced from 5 exons.